Molecule: ribosomal RNA, 484 nt
Filed under: uncultured bacterium
Lineage: Bacteria
Description: partial 16S ribosomal RNA
Rfam family: Bacterial small subunit ribosomal RNA
Source: RNAcentral
AUUGAACGCUGGCGGCAGGCCUAACACAUGCAAGUCGAGCGGAUGAAGGUAGCUUGCUCCUGGAUUCAGCGGCUGACGGGUGAGUAAUGCCUAUGAAUCUGCCUGGUAGUGGGGGAUAACGUCCGUAAACGGGCGCUAAUACCGCAUACGUCCUGAGGGAGCAAGUGGGGGAUCUUCGGACCUCACUCUAUCAGAUGAUCCUAGGUCGGAUUAGCUAGUUGGUGGGGUAAAGGCCUACCAAGGCGACGAUCCGUAACUGGUCUGCGAGGAUGAUCAGUGACACUGGAACUGAGACAAGGUCCAGACUCCUACGGGAGGCAGCAGUGGGGAAUAUUGGAAAAUGGGAGAAAGCAUGAUCCAGCCAUGCCGCGUGUGUGAAGAAGGUCUUCGGAUUGUAAAGCACUUUAAGUUGGGAGGAAGGGCAGUAAGUUAAUACCUUGCUGUUUUGACGGUACCAACAGAAUAAGCACCGGCUAACUUCGUG